CGUAGGGUGCAAGCGUUAAUCGGAAUUACUGGGCGUAAAGCGUGCGCAGGCGGUGAUGUAAGACAGUCGUGAAAUCCCCGGGCUCAACCUGGGAAUUGCGAUUGUGACUGCAUCGCUGGAGUGCGGCAGAGGGGAUGGAAUUCCGCGUGUAGCAGUGAAAUGCGUAGAUAUGCGGAGGAACACCGAUGGCGAAGGCAAUCCCCUGGGGCCUGCACUGACGCUCAUGCACGAAAGCGUGGGAGCAAACAGGAUU
RNAcentral lists this ribosomal RNA (253 nucleotides) under uncultured bacterium. RNAcentral describes it as "partial 16S ribosomal RNA". It matches the Rfam family "Bacterial small subunit ribosomal RNA", at positions 526 to 779 of the family's 1533-position model. The record is from RNAcentral.